This 581-nucleotide ribosomal RNA is filed under the name uncultured Planctomyces sp. RNAcentral describes it as "bacterial SSU rRNA". It matches the Rfam family "Bacterial small subunit ribosomal RNA", at positions 102 to 694 of the family's 1533-position model. Lineage: Bacteria; Pseudomonadati; Planctomycetota; Planctomycetia; Planctomycetales; Planctomycetaceae. The record is from RNAcentral.
ACGGGGUAGUAAUGUGUCGGAACGUGCCCUCUGGACGGGGAUAGCGGCGGGAAACUGCCGGUAAUACCCGAUGAACUCAAGAGAGCAAAGGUGUGAUUCCGCCGGAGGAGCGGCCGACAUGGUAUUAGCUAGUUGGCGGGGUAACGGCCCACCAAGGCUGUGAUGCCUAGGGGAUGUGAGAGCAUGAUCCCCACCAUUGGGACUGAGACACUGCCCAGACACCUACGGGUGGCUGCAGUCGAGAAUCUUCGUCAAUGGGCGAAAGCCUGAACGAGCGACGCCGCGUGCGGGAUGAAGGCCCUUGGGUUGUAAACCGCUGUCGAGGGGGAUGAAGGCUGGAAGGUACUCCUUCCAGUUUGACAGAGCCCUGGAGGAAGCACGGGCUAAGUUCGUGCCAGCAGCCGCGGUAAUACGAACUGUGCGAACGUUAUUCGGAAUCACUGGGCUUACAGGGUGCGUAGGCGGCUAUUCAGGUCAGGUGUGAAAGCCCUCGGCUCAACCGAGGAACUGCGCUUGAAACCGGAUGGCUCGAGUCAACUAGAGGUGCACGGAACUUCCAGUGGAGCGGUGAAAUGUGUUGA